Molecule: ribosomal RNA, 429 nt
Filed under: Bacillota bacterium
Lineage: Bacteria; Bacillati; Bacillota
Description: Firmicutes bacterium partial 16S ribosomal RNA
Rfam family: Bacterial small subunit ribosomal RNA
Source: RNAcentral
UAGGGAAUCUUUGGCCAUGGACGGAAGUCUGACCGAGCAACGCCGCGUGAGUGAAGAAGGUUUUCGGAUCGUAAAGCUCUGUUUCUAGAGAAGAACGUUGGUAGGAGUCGAAAAUCUACCAAGUGACGGUAACUAACCAGAAAGGGACGGCUAACUACGUGCCACCAGCCGCGGUAAUACGUAGGUCCCGAGCGUUGUCCGGAUUUAUUGGGCGUAAAGCGAGCGCAGGCGGUUCUUUAAUUCUGAAGUUAAAGGCAGUGGCUAAACCAAAGUACGCUUUGGAAACUGGAGGAGUUGAGUGAAGAAGGGGAGAGUGGAAUUGCAUGUGUAGCGGUGAAAGGAGUGGAUAUAUGGAGGAACACCGGUGGCGAAGGCGGCUCUCUGGUCUGUAACUGACGCUGAGGCUCGAAAGCGUGGGGAGCAAACAGG